RNAcentral lists this non-coding RNA (26 nucleotides) under Mus musculus (house mouse). The record is from RNAcentral. Lineage: Eukaryota; Metazoa; Chordata; Mammalia; Rodentia; Muridae.
UGGCAGGAAUAGGAAUCCUUAGGGUA